Molecule: long non-coding RNA, 28968 nt
Filed under: Setaria italica (foxtail millet)
Lineage: Eukaryota; Viridiplantae; Streptophyta; Magnoliopsida; Poales; Poaceae
Description: long non-coding RNA (SITA_LNC000911)
Source: RNAcentral
AAAAAUUAACUAUUAGUUCCAUUAGUAGGCUCGAAGUUACUAAUUGAUGCUAAUAGUUCAUAUACAUCUUCAACUCCCUGUCUAACCACCUAAUAGCACUAAUAGCAUGUGGAUCCAAACAGACUCUUAGCUAAAAAAUAGCAACUAUUAGUUAUUAGCUAGCUAAUUUUGUGCUGAUGGAUACAAACACGCCCUAAGAUAGUCGCCGUAUGUUUGAACUAAUGGAGAGAUUCGUCAUGUCAACAUCAAUAUGUCCAGCUACAUACAAUCAAUGUCAGUCCUGGAUUGCUCACGUCAACAUCAAAGACGUCAGUAAGUUUUGCCCUACACCGUUUACUUAAGAGCAUGUCAAGAGUCUCUCUCUAAAUCAUUAUUUGAAAAACCAUUUGUAUAAAAUUCGCUUUCUACAUCUUUUCGCUCUUCAAUAGUUUUUCUACAUUUUAUGUGUAUUUUACAGAGCCAUUCUCAUUUUGUAUCUUUGGCUAGCGAAAAAUCUAGAAUAGAAGAUAACUAUAUUUGGAUAACAAAAUAAAGAAGCCAUAUUUUUUAUUAAAAUCUCUAUUUUUAGCAAUUAUUAGAAAGGAUAUAGUCUCGGAGUUGCUCGAAAGGGAUUGCUCAGGAGUACGCCCCGCAGAACCUUUUGAUGUGAAUACUGAAUUCGGAUUGGAUCCAGAAUUUGAUGAAAAAUGGACUGAGAUGCUGGUUACGUGCAGUGAUGUUGUAGAUGAUGGGCAGUCAACUCGUAAGUGAUGGCUGACGAUCUAAAGAGGCAACGAGUCACAAUUCCAAAGCCGUUUGGCAACAUUUACACGGGUUUAUUAUGCCACAACAUUUCAAACCAUAAUUAUUUAAUUCAGAGAAAGAAAUAAGAUUGUUUGAAAAUUUCCUGCCUGCAAAAGGUAAAUUGUGUCAUUCUAAAUGGACCUUGUGUAGCACUGUCAAUUUGUUUUUUAUAAUAUUAAACCCAGCAGAUUGCAAGGUCUCCAUUUAUUCUGUUCAAAAAGAUCGUUUUGUACAUUCAAAUGGCAGUUUAGCUUGAAUAAUGGCUAAACAUUAGCUUUAAGUAAACACGAUCAUGAUGACAAGAGGCAUUUUGCAGAUGCAAUUCGCCAAUUUCGGUGGCCUUUGAGCGCACACAUUCCAUUGACCCAGAGUAUUUGCAACCUCCUCAAAAUUCUCGUUUGAAGUUAAACUGAACUUUCUGUGACGUUACAGUUUCCGGUUAAUAAUAACUGGCUGCGGGGAAAUACACGAUGGUUUAUAAAAAUAAUAAAAAAUGGAAACCUCGCACGCACACGGGAGCAAAAAGCUGUACAAUUCACUUGUAAUCCUCCAGCCUAUGUAGCAUCAUUGUUUGCUUUGAGCUGUGAUACAAACAUCCAAGUUAGCCUAACCACAAUUUAUGGAUUAUACAACAAGAGCACGUCUGAAUUAUACAGCACAAACAGCAUCGGUGCAGUAGAAAACUGAAAAAUGCAGCAUCUCAAACAAAGCUUCCAAUAAAGAAGUAGAACAGUGCACUCAGCACGUCCAGUGAAUCUAGAAUCAGACAGAUAUCUUGAAAUAUCAACAUCGCAUCCGUGAAACCCAAACAGCUCAUCAACUAUCCUAGAGGUAAAUAUCCUCCAGUAAAACACAGCACAAAAGGUUCGGGGUACUCAAGGCACAAGCUAGGCAUUGCAAAUACUGGAACCAGAAAUUUUCAGAAGGACCCCUAAAUCGGAUCGCGGUUAAUAAUCGCGAUCCAAAUCAGGAAUCAUGUUGCAAAUAUUUGUUCUGGCAUUUUACUAACGGAUCCCUGCAUCGGAUAAUCGCGACCCAAAUCAGGGGUUUGUUCCGAAAUUUACAAAGGAUCGAUCGCGAUCAACCAAAUCAGGGGCAUUUUGAAAAUGUUCCAUCCGCCAUUUUACGAAAUCCGCGCGGAGAGCAGACGGCGAGCCCGCGCCGCCGCCGGCGACCUCUGCUAGCCCCAGCAGCAGGGAAACCUUCUCGGCGGCGCCUCUCCAUGCGGACGCUGUACAGGAGGCUGCUGGCGUGGAGCGACUCCGACACGGAGGACAACGACCGGCUGCUGGCGACGCCGACGAGCCGCCGGGGCCUGGCCACGGUCGGCGGCGGCUCGUACGACCGGGCGUGUGCCGCGGCCGCCUCUGUCGGCGACGUGCUCGUCCAGGCCGGAGCCGACGACGACGGCCGCCGCGCGGGGAAGUCGCCGUCGCUCGCCCGGCAAGAGCAGGGUGAGUACAGAGGAUGAAAGGAACUAGCGUAUUGGAACCAGCGCUGCUGCGUUAGACGUUUGACUUGCACGUGACAAACUCACCGCCGGGCCCUGUGCAACGCGUGCUUGCAGGCUUUCAUUGCCGCGGCGGCGGGGGCUCGUCGCCGGCGGCUGCCUCUGCGCUUACCUGGCCUGGCGGCACUGUGGCAGCACGGGCAAGCUGCCAAUCCCCGUCUUGAUUUGAUCCACGCAUGUUCCCAUGGUUCAAAAAUGAUGGCACGUUUCGCAUCGUCUUCAGCUUGAGCAGCAGCAGUUCGGUCCAUGGAAUUUUGAUAUGUUGCAUCUUGUAUAUGGUCAGCCGGACACAAUUAUAUCUGGAUUCGCCGUGAGACAUUUGAGAUGAAUACGAACGAACAUGGGGUUUAGAUGAAUUUUACAUGACCGCGUGAUGAUUCAUUGUUUGGCUGAGACCGGCAAGCCGUAGCACCCCUCCAAUCCUCCAUGGACUCUAUGCAGGCAAGUUCUUUCCAAGGUUUCUCCGGUUGCAAGCAAUUGCAGACAGAAACCUUGAAAAACGGUUACUAAUAAUGCUCUGAAAGCGAAACAGCAAAGGUAAGUUAGCAGAUGUCUGAAACUAAAACAACCGAGACGUUGAAGUCAAACUCUGAAAAAUAUUUACGCUUGAAUGCUUAGGCUUCCGAAGAAUCUGAUAGUGAUGUACAAGACCUCAGUGCAAGGAUAUAUCUUCUAUAUCUCCUAAACUGCAACCAUGUCAAAAAAAAAUGGCCCGGCUGUCUCUAUUCUCUGCAGGUACACUUCCCUCCCCUGAAAAUGUGGAACCCUGACGAGUCUCUGACCGAGAUCACCUUACCGGUGGCGGCGGAGGCGUGCUCCAGGAAAGAGUGGCAGUCGCCGCACAUGCGGAUGUUCUUCACGACGCGGACGGCCCGCCCGGUGCCUGCCGUCAGGAUGCCGUACAUGGCCGCCAGCUUCGCGCUGUGGUACAUCAGGAAGUGCCGCUUCUGGUACUCCUCGACGUCGUGGAGGACGAAGGUGGUGUCCGGCUCGUACCCGGCCUUGAUGCACUCGAGGAUCAGCACGUCCAGGCCCGCGUAGAUGUCCUUGGACUGCGGGUGUGAUCUGUCCCGUGCGAAGAACGAGUGGACAGUGUUGUCGUUGAACGUCCAGCUCCGUGCUGGGAUCUUGCGCAUGCCCUUCUCGCGCAUCUCCAGCCUUGUGGUCUCAGAGGAGUGCCACCUUGCUGAUUCGGAGAAGAGAUUUGAUGUCAAUACGUAAGUGGAUGGAUCUUGUGGUUCCAAUGCAAGCAAAUGCUUCAUAGCUCGUCUUCGCACGGUCAUGUUGGAGCGCUUGCUGCAGCUGUCUAGCAAAGACCGCCAAACUAAUGCACCAGGCUUGAAUGGCAUACUGCCUAUAAGCUGUUCUGCCUCAUCAAAGUGACCCCAGCAGCCAAGAACGUUAACAAAAGCUGCAUAGUGCUCCAUGGCUGGUUCAAUUCCAUAGCUGCUUGACAUCGAAAGAAAGAGUUCCCUGCAUUGAUCUGUAGAAUCUGAGCUUGUGUGACUGCAAGCAGACAUGACCAGAAGAAAGGUAAUGGAAUCAGGCCUGAUGCCUAAUCUCUCCAUCUGAGCCCAUAUGUCCAAUAUCUCUUCUCCCUGACGAUGAAGAAGAUGGGCAGUGAUCAUUGCAUUCCAUGACACCAGGUCUCGACAAGUCAUCCGCUCAAAGAAAUUGACUGCAUCAUCCAACUCCCCACACUUGCCAUACAUACUGAUGAUAGCAUUACCGACUCCACAAGCAUACAGAAGCCCAGAUUUUGCAGCAAAGGAAUGCAUUUGCUUUCCAAGUUCAGCAAAACCCAGAGCGCCACAUACUCCAAGGGCAGCAGUCAGCAUGAACUCAUCGAUGAAUCCUACACCACUGCUUCUAAACAUCUGAAGGAAGGUUGAAAGUGCUUUCUCAUACUCGCCAUCUCUGACACUAGCCAGCAGCAAAGAAUUCCAAGCAAUAUGAAAGCUCUCUUGAUGGCGCCAUUGCUCAAACAACAGAUGUGCAUCCCCAGAACGGCCGCACUUGAUGCACAUAUCGAUCAACGCGGCAUCUAUCCAAGGAGUAGAGCCGCAGCCGCACUUAAUCACAAAAGCAUGAACCUGCUCACUCACCUUCCUAUCUGCAGCAAUAGCACAGGCGUUCAGAGCACUGGUCACCGUGACAUCUGAGACCUCCAGCCCAUCCUCCACCAUUUGCCUAAACAGCCCCAGGCCUCGGAGCCCUGCCUUCUUCGCGAACGUGACCCGCACGCCUUCCUUGUUCUGACAAAACCCGGUCAGGACCGCAUUGUAUGUGACAAAGUUCCUCUCAGGCAUCCGAUCAAACACGUCCAGAGCCAUGUCGACCAGACCGAACUCCAUGUACCCAUUCAGCAACCCGGUCCACGAAAUCACAUCCUUCACCGGCAUCCCCUGGAACACGCUCACCACGUCUUCGACGGAGCUGCCAUGCUCCGCGUAGAACCCGAUGAGCGCAUUGCCCACGCUCAGGUCCGUCUCCAGCCCGGACUUGAGCGACAGCGCGUGCACGGCCUCCCCCUCGGGGAGGCCGAACCCCUCGCCCGCCGCGGCCAGGAGCGCCGACAGGGAGAAGCUGUCGGCGCGGACCCCGCUCGCCCGCAUCUCGCCGAACAGCCCGAACGCCUCCUCGUGCCGCCCCAGCUCGACCAGGCCGGCCAGGACGGCGUUCCACGAGGAGACGUCGCGGCGCUCCAUGCCGUCGAACGCCCUCAGCGCGUCCCCGAGGCGGCCGCACUUGACGUACAUGCCGAGGAGCGCGUUGUCGACGAGGAGCGACCCGGGGCCGGAGCACGAGCAGUGGCCGGACUUGGCGGCGAGCGCGUGCACCUGGGCCCCGAGCCGCGGGUUGCCCCUGCGGGCGCAGGCGGUGAGGAGGCCGACGAAGGUGUACUCGGUGGGGUCCAGCGCGUCCGCGAGGCGCAUGCGGGCGAGCAGCGCGGCGGCGGCGGACGCGGGGGAGCCGAGGCGCGCGUGGCCCGAGAUGAGCGCGCUGUAGGAGGCGGCGUCGCGCGCGGGCAUCCGGUCGAACACGCCCCGCGCGUCGGCCAGGCGGCCCGCGCGGAGGUACGCGCACAUGACGGCAUUCGCGGCGCGGGCGUCCGGGGAGGUGGACGUGCCCAGCGCGCCGGACUUGACCGCCACCGCGUGCGCGGCGCGGGGGUCGGCGGCGUGCGCGCGGACGGGUAGGCGGGGAGGGGGACCAUGGGAAGGCGUAGGAGGAGACGGCGCGGGCGGGAAGGGGAGGAAGGGAGGGGGCGGGGAGGGGAGGUGGAGCGGGUGAGGGGAGGAGGGGGAUGAGGUGGAGAUGGCCAUUCAUUUCACUCCGAGGCACGCGGAGCUAAGCUUCGGCAGGCUUGCUGUGCUCGGGCAGCUCGCUCCUCCGCGCUCUCUCGCGCCCCACCCCUCACGGCGGGACGGAGAUCCAGUGCAUUCAUCUUGGGCUUUUUCUCUCUCUCCCCCUGUUUGUUCCGCGGCCUGGUGGGUCGGUCUCAGCAGCUCCCGACCACACCGGUAUUGGGCCAGGUCGUCCUGACCGACCGAGCUUUCCAAUUGUUUUCCAGAGUGCCCUUAAUUUUACCUAGCCUUUUUCCAUCUCUCAAAACAAAUACUCCCUAUAUCCUAAAAUUUGGCAUGGUCUUCCAUACUAAUAUUUGACUCUCAAUAUUUCCUAUAAUAUAAUAUGUGUAGCAGUAAAAUUAUAGCGAUAUAUAUUUUUUUAAAUGCAAGUCCAAUGAUAUUAUAUUUUUAUAAGAUAAUGUUUUUAUUAUACAAAAAUAAUUGUAGGCCAAAACUUUUGAAAUUUGCAUCUUAAGUUACGUGCACUCCUUUGUAUUAUGGGAUGGAGGGAGUAUCGGCUAACCAAUUACAACAAGUUCAGGUGCUACACGCGGCAAAUGUUUUAUUCGCCGGUGAGCUUGAUGGUUGCGCGAUAUGCUUUGCCACUUGUCAUGAGAACGGAAAGGAAUGUUGUUGUGGGAGCACUGUUGCACCAUCAGUGAACAAUAUCUUUGUUUAAGAAUUCGCAGGUACGAAUCGAAUUCUCGUACUUUUGUAGUGAAAGUUGACGACUCUCUUUUUUAAAAGAAGAAGAAACGAUGGCUCUCUUCGUUUUUUGUUACACCGGACACCGCCGAGCGGUCUAGCUCCACAUCAACUACUACUUGGCCGUCAGCUUCGACCCUUUUGGUUGGAUGGACCAAACGCCGUCGAAAUCUUGUGGCCACCAGAUACAUGAGCACUGCCAGGUACAGGAACCGAAGCAUAAACGGCAGCAUCAACGGCAGGGUGAUGAGCCAGCGCGGUGGCGCCGCCGUCGUGGAGCGCUACCCGCGCGAGGCCAGCCUCCAUCGCCACCGUGAGCACCACGAACGCCACCUGCAAGUCUGCAACGCGCACAGAUGACAGAGGGCAAGUAAGAAACGCAUGCACCAUCUAUCUGAUUCCAAAUGUAAUUAACGCUGAGCUGAGAGCCGCGCGUACGUCGAUGCAGGCCUUGCGGAAGGGUCUCAUGGGCCGGAGGGGCAGCUCGUCGACGUGCCGCAAGGGGUCCCAGCAGGGCUUGUCGCCGGCGUCAACGGCGCUCUCGUCGGCGUCGUAGUCGGCGACCUCGAGGAUGAGGUCGCCUGAUGAGCUCGCGGUUAUUAGGUCUUCGGAGGCCUCGAGGACGAAGUAACAAGGUGCGCCGGAUCCGUCGCCGCCGGAGACGACGACGGAGUAGUCGACGGCCGGCCGAGGCAUGAACAUCGACGGCGGAGGGCAGACAUGAAGCGCGCAUACAUUUUGACCAUACAUGAAGAAGUUCAUGUCCUUAUUCACAAAAGAAGAAGAAGAAGUUCAUGUCCAUUUCUUGGGCAUAUAGUUAAUAUCCGAAAAGCGCAAAAUUAACUGGAUCUUUAGAGUGGCCGAAGAAACUCUUUAGGAUAGCGUACAAGCAAACGUUGGCAGGAGUGGUAGAAGAUGCAUGGUGUGCUACACAUGCGCUUCCUUUCUUCGGUUCUCUCGCUCACUUUCGCGAAAUUGAGCAAAAUUUGGUUGGAAGUAGGGGACGGACUCAUUCAUCCGGCAAUGGAGACCAUCGCGACUUUGGGCGAAAUUGAGCCGAAUCCUGUGGAUUUCUCCCUCCGGGAACGAGAGGCAGCUCCGCAUUUCGAGGUGCCGAAUGGAUCCACCUUUGGGCUCUUUCUUGGCCACGAGGCUGACGCCCUGACGCGAGGAGGAGCAUGAGAGGAGGAGGAUGUCGUCGUGUUCACUACUGGCGCGGCGGAGGAAGCGUCCGGCCCGGCCGCACGCUGUGCCGACUGCCGACAAGGCGACAGGGACAGAAGCGCGCACCCCGCUUCGGGCUUCGGCGCUUCCCUGCGCAGCCCAGCGCCAGCGGCGUCGGCCUAUGCCCCUGCUCCGUUUCACCCCGGCCGCGUAAUUCCUGGCGUGGCAGCGUGAGAUGAGCACGAGCACUGGAAUAUUUAAUUAAUUACCAUUGUAAGAAAUGGUGCACCUUCGAAAACCACUUUUAGAAUUCCAUCUACAUUUUUACCAUCGGAGAGAAGAUUUAGUUACACGUUCGCCAUUUUGACCUCCGUGGCGUACCAUGUCACGCUUCCACGCUGGACUCCGCUCGCGGGCUUCGUCGUCCUCCGGCGCUCUUCUGCUGCAUCGGCGGCGCUGGGUCCUGCUCCCUCCGCUGGCGCCUCUUCUUCCUGACGUGGUACGCGUACAGGAAUAGCAUGAAGAGGAGACCCACGGCGGCGAGCGAGGCAAAGGACUGGGACUUGCCGUCGAAGAACCUGGACAGGCCCCUCUUGAAGGGGAGCUCCGUCAUGUGGCCGGACAUCUCAAAGCGGUCAGAGCCGGUGGUGGAGGAGGAGGAGCUCGCGUCGUCGUCGAGCUCGGAAGACUCCCCGGACGUGGACGGCGACGACGACUCGGAGGACUCCGACGGCGAGCCGAUGUCCUCCUCCUGCUCCUCGCACGCGGUGGCCGCCUCCGGCCUCCCGCUGCGGAACAAGUAGUACGCGGCCUCCAUGAUCCAAGAUCCUUCGAGACCCCGAGAUCAGACCAGACGAAGAGCACUCAACGAAGAGAAAGAGAUGGAGCAAAAGCAGCGCUGUGACACAGCGUGGGUGGCGGAGGCAGACAGGGACUUCGACCCCGACGUCUGGGUCGACGUGCUGGCCAGCAUGGCCACCAUCUUCGCCGACGCGGCAUGAGCCUGCGGAACGAGGUCCGUGGCCCGAGGCAGAACACCGAGGACUGGUACACGUACAUGCAGAGGGGCGCGGAGGCGGUGCCGCGGUGCGCGCGGCGAACCCCCGGGCGCUGGUGAUCAUGGGCGGCCUGAGCUACGACUACGACCUGUCCUUACUGGCGCCAAGGCCGGUGGGCGUGAGCUUCGCGGCGGAGGGCAAGCUGGUGUUCGACACUACGGGAAACACAAACAUUGCCGAGUGCCAGGGGCACUCGGCGAAGGGCUAAAAACACUCGGUGAACCGUUUGCCGAGUGUAACACUCGGCAAACGGCACACGGGGAAUUCUGAGUCGGCAAACACCGAUUUGCCGAGUGUUUUGUGUCGCGCACUCGGCAAAGACUUUGCCGAGUGGCCACAAAACACUCGGCAACAUUUUUUGCGAAAAAUUAAAAAAAAAUAACCUCCGGCGGCCAGCCACCACCACCGGCCGGCCGCUACGCACCGCCGCCGCCUCGACCCGACGCCUCGACCCGCCGCCGCCGCCGCCUCGACCCCCCGCCGCCGCCGCCUCGACCCGCCACGACCCGCCGCCCCCCGCCGCGGGCCAGAUCCGAAGCCGCCGCCCCGGUCGCCAGAUCCCGCCGCCGCCGCCUCGACCCGGCGCCGCCGCCUCGACCCGCCGCCGCCGCCGCCUCGACCCGCCGCCCCCCGCCGCGGGCCUGAUCCGAAGCCGCCGCCCUGGUCGCCAGAUCCCGCCGCCGCCCCGCGGCCAGAUCCGCCGCCGCCGCCCCACCCGCCACGACCCGCCGCCGCCCCGCGGCCAGAUCCGCCAGGGGAGGGGUGCGCGUGCGGCGGUGGCGGCGGCGGUGGCGGCGGCGGCGGCAGGAGGCCGGGGUGGGGAAGAGAGGGGGGAAGAGAGGGGGGCGGCCGGUGUGUCCCACUUAGGACACUCGGUAAACUUUUUUUGAAAAAAAAUUAAAAAAUAUCCAACAGUUUCAAAAAAAUACCAAAUUUUCACACGCCCUAAUAUAUAUUCUCUAUUGAUUAUAAAAAAAGUUUUGUAGUCAAAUCAAACUCGACCGUCACUUCGACUCUAAAUCUUAUCGAAUCCUCUCAAAGUUACUAUUCUUCUUCUGAGAUGCUUCGGUUUGUAAUCAUCGUACAUGAUGAAAUGUGCAAAACCUUCUCAAUUUUUUUCCACAGCCUCCAUGUAUUAUAUCAUCACAUCAUGACAAAUCUUAAGAUUUUCAGACUUUGAUUGUUUUUUUUACAAUUUAAAAAUACUACUGCCACACGUUCAUGGUCGUGUUUCCUGAAUAAGAUGUUCGAAAUUUCUUUUCAUUUCAUGGGUCAGGUCUCAAAUUGGUCCAAAUAACAUGAAUAUCAUUUUUCUACUCAUUUUAUUCCAUAAUUUGAAUCACUUGCAGUUCAAAAUUAACUUAUACCAAAAAUUCUCUUGAAAUGCAAUUAAUUAAUUAAAUAUAGCAAAUAAAUUCAAAAAUAUACCAAAUUUUAACAUGGAGUACCACAUGUUGUAUGUGGGGAGUAGAAAAAAUUUCAUGGUGAAAAGAGAAAAAAAAUUAUUUUUUUGCCGAGUGUAAAAAAAAAACACUAGGCAAACCCCCCUCUUUGCCGAGUGUUUUUUUGACACUCGGCAAACCCCCCUCUUUGCCGAGUGUUUUUUAUUUGACACUCGGCAAAGCCCCGAUUUGCCGAGUGUUUUUUUUUGCCGAGUGUUUUUGGCUUGGCACUCGGCGAAGAGCUUGUUUGCCGAGUGUCCGAAAAAAAACACUCGGCAAAAAGAAAACACUCGGCAAAUUUAAGGUUUCCCGUAGUGCGAGGUGCACUGGUACAGCUUCUCGGAUGCGCGCGCGUGGGAGGUCGGAAACGCCAACGAGGUCUGCGCCCGCGCCACGCGCUAACUUCGAGCGCCGCGACGGGUUCCUCCUCGCCCAGGGCCUCCCGCUCUUCCUCAGCGAGUUCGGCGCCGACCUCCGCGGCGGCGACCUCAGGGGCAACCGCUACUUCCCGUGCGCCGCCGCCGUGGCCGCCGAGCACGACCUCGAUUGGGCCUACUCGGCGCUGCAGGGCGGGGGCUCACGCCCUGAUCCAUGCCGUCCCGUCCACCAGCAGUAUACCAUGCGCGCAGGAACAAGAACGGGGAUGGAGAAUUGGAGAUCGAUUCGCUUCAGCUUAUUCAGCCGACUUAUCAGCCACCAAACAGUGUUUUCCUCUCACAACAAAUCAGCCAUUUCAACUUUUCAGCCGGCUUAUAAGCUGAAGCGAACAGGCUCGAGUAGCCGCCGGACGAUACUAGGGGCACCGGGAUCUUUUCACGAGCGGCGUCCAGUGUGGAAGCGUGACAUGGCGCACCAGUGAGACUAAAAUGACGAAUGUGUAACUAAAUCUUCUAAGUGGUGACAAAAAUAUGGAUGAAAUUAUAAAAGUGGUUUUCGAAGGUACGACAAUUCUUACUGUAGCAAUUAAUUAAAUAUCCCACGAGCACCACACCGUGCGAGGGGGAAGCGUCACUGGUCGGAUCCUCUGAGCCCAUCCCAGCCCUGCCGCCGGUUCGCCAUUAUACUGUUGUCCCGCCCGUUUGGUGACUUGGCACGGUCACCGGACACUGAAGACGACGUCCCACGCAUCUUGCAUGUGCGGCCGCGCAGGUGCUUUCUUCUCCCCGUACCAAAAAAAAAAGGUGUUCCUCUGAAAACAUCUCGCAUGGCACGGCCUUAAUAACUCCAAAGCGCGGUGGCAAAUGUUUGAAACGGUAAUUGACGCGAUGCCACAUGAUAUCUUAAUCAUUCAUGUGAAUACCCAAACACAUGGAAUGCAAAUUAGUCUAUGCUUUUCUUGAGUAAUGGUAAAUGCGGCGAUAAGCCAGGAAAAAAAUUUUUAGCAGCGUAAUUAGUCCUAACAUUAAGGUUGGUUACUUUGUGGAGCUACAAAAUGUCGACUGAUGAGGUGAUCUAAUUAGCAUCUAGGAUAAUGGUGCUUAAGUACCAUCACUACCGGACACAGGUUUUAUGCCGAGUGCCAGGGGUACUCGGCGAAACCCGAAAUACUCUCGGCAACAAAUUCGCCGAGUGUUACACUCGGCAUCUGGCACUCGGCAAACUUUUAGUCGGCAAAGUAACAUUCGCCGAGUGUUUUCGGUCGGGCACGCGGCACAGCUUUCGCCGAGUGCCCAGAAAACACUCGGCCAACCAUUUUUUGGAAAAAAAUAAAAAAAAGGCACGCCGACACCGUCGGCCGCACCACCAGCAUGGCGCCACCAUCCACGCCGCCGCCACCACAGCCGGCCACCAUCCACGCCCGCCGCCACCAUCCACGCCGCCGCCGCCGGCCACCAUCCACGCCCGCCGCCACCAUCCACGCCCGCCGGAUCCGAGGCCCCCGACGCGAGUCCCCGCCGGAUCCGGGGAGGAGGGGCGGAUUCCCCGCCGGAUCCGGCCGGAUUUGGGGAGAGGGGCGGGGCGGCCACGCGAAGGAGGGAGGAGGGGAGAGGAGGGGGAGGGGCGCCGGUAGGAGAGGGAGAGGGAGAGGGAGGGAAGGGGCGGCGACGGUGGCAGCUAGCCGGCGGCGGGAGAGGAAGGUGGGGGAGGGGGGGCGUCGGGCACUCAGGCGGAGGCGCGCCGGCAGCGGAAGAAUGAAGGAGGCCAUGCAGGGCGCGUCGGGCGGGUGGGGAGUGGGGUGCUGUCCCGGGCCGGUAGAUAUUUUUGCGGGAUUUGCCGAGUGUCCUGAUCUGGACACUCGGCAAAGAUUUUUUUAAAAAAAAAUUCUUUGCCGAGUGUCCACCCUAGGACUUUCGGCAAAGUUUUUUUUAAAAAAAUAAAAAAUAUCUAACAGUUUAAAAAAAUACCAAAUUUUCACACGAAAUAAUAUAUGUUCUCUACUGACUAUAAAAAAGUUUUGUAGUCAAACCGAACUCGACCGUCACUUCGACUCUAAAUUUUAUCGAAUCCUUCUCAAAGUUACUAUUCUUCUUCUGAGAUGCUUCGAUUUGUAAUCAUCGUACAUGAUGAAAUGUGCAAAACCUUCUCAAUUUUUUUCCACAGCCUCCACAUAUUAUAUCAUCACAUCAUGACAAAUCUCAUGAUUUUCAGACUUUGCUUGUUUUUUUUACAAUUUAAAAAUACUACUGCCACACGUUCAUGGUCGUGUUUCCUGAAUAAGAUGUUCGAAAUUUCUUUUCAUUUCAUGGGUCAGGUCUCAAAUUGGGCCAAAUAAUAUGAAUAUCAUUUUUCUACUCAUUUUGUUCCAUAAUUUGAAUCACUUGCAGUUCAAAUUUGACUUAUACCAAAAAUUCCCUUGAAAUGCAAUUAAUUAAAUAAAUAUAGCAAAUAAAUUCAAAAAUAUACCAAAUUUUAACAUGGAGUACCACAUGUUGUAUAUGGGGAGUAGAAAAAAUUUCAAGGUGAAAAGAGAAAAAAAAUAUUUUUUUUUUGCCGAGUGUCAAAAAAGACACUCGGCAAAGAGGGGGGUUUGCCGAGUGUUUUUUUUGACACUCCGCAAAUAGGGGGGUUUGCCGAGUGUUUUUUAUUUGACACUCGGCAAAGCCCCGAUUUGUCGAGUGUUUUUUCUUUGCCAAGUGUUUUUGGCUUGGCACUCGGCAAAGAACUUGUUUACCGAGUGUCCGAAAAAAACACUCAGAAAAAAGAAACACUCGGCAAAUUUAAGGUUUCCCGUAGUGCAUGCACCUGGUUAACACAGUUCGAGUUCGCCUGUGUCACUGUCUAAACGAAAAUGUCCACGGAAUAAUGGCCCGUUCAGGUAGCCUUCACAUCCAGGGGCACACAUCAUUAUUGUGGACGCGAUCCACAUGCUCUACCUAAACAAAUCGGAUCCGUAUCGGCAUCGUCUAUGAUUAGUUCCAAGCCAUGCAAGUUGUUCUAGAGUACCUUUCAGCAUAUCUGUUGUUCAGAUUAUGAGACCUGUACGCAGGAAAAAAAAAUUCCGACGGGGGCAUUUCACGUACGCAUCGUCUUACAUUGACAGGAUCAAAUGCAGAGUCAAGUGAAAAAACACAUGAGAAAGUUUUGGUCGUCCAUUUUAUAAUAUGCCUAAUUUUGCCAGGAAAGAUUCGGUUAGGAGUGAAAAGGAAACGCGAUCCGACAAGUCUUGCAAUGAUGGCUGAAAUAUGUCUUGCCUUGCGAAUGCAAUAUCAAAUACGGUGCACAAGAAAUAAAAAUACCUGAACGAGAUCAAAUCCAAUAUCAAAUACGUCCCUAAUCUAGAAAAUAGUCUAUGAGUAUUUCACUAAUAAUAGAUAAAAAUAUCUAUUGUUUUGUAAAGCCAAUGUCAAAUAUGGAUUAAUAGGGCAACCUUCACGUCAAGUUUCUUAGUACUAGCUAAAGCAUGCCCUGAUGAGUUUUUGCGCAUAGCUAAAAUACGUGUUCCUUUGCUAAACCAAAAUCAGAUGUGGAAAAAAAAAUCUUGGCCGAGUUUUGAGGCAGUAGCUAAAGUAUGCCUUCCUUUGCAAAUUGGAUUGACACUAUGAAAAGCGAAAAAGAAAAGUUCCAGCGUUUUUUUGAGCCAUGGUUAAAUAUGUGUUGCUUUGUGGAGUCAACAUCAAAUAAAGAAUAAAAGCUCCAUAAGUCUUCAGGAAGUAGUUAAAAUAUGUGUUGUUUGUGAAGUUAAUAUCAAAUACCGAUAUACAACGGUAGCUAAAACAUGCCAUGUUUUUUCGACGACAAUGCUAAAAUAGACGACAAUGCUAAAACACAGGAUGUUGUGAAAUUCCUUCUCAAUUAACGAAAAAAAACCUCCAUAAGUCUUUAGGAAGUAGUUAAAAUAUGUGUCGUUUGUGAAGUUAAUAUCAAAUACCGAUAUACAGCGGUAGCUAAAACAUGCCAUGUUUUUUCGACGACAAUGCUAAAAUAGACGACAAUGCUAAAAUACAGGAUGUUGUGAAAUUCCUUCUCAAUUAACCUUAUCUACAGUAUUAUGGUACACGUGUAUAUAUGGGUGCAAGCCAGAGCAGAAGAUAACCAUCAAGAUCACCAAGCUCCACAUAUAGUCAUAUACAGAGAAAGUGGUUGCAGGGGAUCCUGGAUGCCGUUUUGCCUGAGGGCCGGUCUUCGGGGUCUUCAGUCUUCGCUCUCCACCGCGGUGAAAAACCGGAGUCCAAAAGAGAAAAGCCAGUUCACAGGAAAGCAACAAAAUCCACGUUGUUUUCUCCCGGCGCUUGUCUUGUUCCAUUGGAGCAAAACGGUGAUGCUACCACUCCAGCACCAGUAGACCGCCACAAUUAUGCAUUUUCCACUUAUAUAAGACCACCACUAGUCUUUAUCCUUUGCCUCCACUUGAUCCCUCCAUCUCUCCAUUCCCCUCCAUCAAAAGAAUUUCCAUUUCUUCCGUGGGAUUUCUGCGAUUUUUUUUUCUCACUCGGUUUCUUGUGGGGCUGGCCGCGAGGUUGCGAGGCCAAGCAGCGCAGCAAAAGUUGCGAUCUUUAUCGGCUGGAUUCCUCUCCUCCCUUUCUCUCUCAUCCUCCGCUUCCUUUGUGCUUCGUUGUUGAGAGUUGAGACCCACUUGCCUUUCUUCUCUCUCUCAUCCCCCUUCCAACUCCUCCUGGUCCCUGGAAAAAAGGAGAUCUUUUGGUGCAAGAUUCGAUCUGCUGUUGCCGCCUUGCUGCACAGAGAUUUGCUCCUUUCUUGGCCGGUUUCGCUCGGUGGUUUCUUGGAGUGGCAGGGCUUUCUGGUGUGGGCAGUUGCAGUUCUUGAUCCAGGCUCAGAUUGCAGGCGGUGGAUGAUUGCUCUGAGGGCGAGGUUGCUGCGGUCAGGUGAUUCCUUGGUCGCUUGUGGUGGCGGUGGCCUCGUUUGAUCCGUUUCUUCGGGAGAUUUUGGUUGAUGUGUUGGGUUUCCUGGGAGCUCAGUUCCCCAAUUCGCCAUUUUGAUGAGGAGUUCUUCCUACUGUGAGAGCAACUGCGCUCCUCCCCUGUGCUACCUGCCCUGCCUCCCCAAAUCCAAAGACGAUGCAGGGGGUGAUCUGGCAUCCGGGUCUCCAAGCCCGGCCGCUGUCACCGAGGACAAGCCGCCCGUGGUCCAGAAGAUUGAGGAAGCCGCGGCGGCGCCCGGCGGCGAUGAUGAUGAUGAGAAAGGCUGUAAGGAGGUGGCGGUGGCUUCCAAGAGCUGCUUGAAGAGAGCUGAUUGUGCGGACAGCAGUAAGAAUGUGGUGAAAGGCAAUGUGAAGUGGAAGGAUUUGUUGGGGAAGGAUCUCACACAAGUCAAAGAAUUCGAGCCAAGGUACGUGCGGUGUUCUUGCCAUGUUUCCUUUCUAGUAUUAUCUAGUUGAAAUUGCGGGUGAAUUUGGUAAUAUUGUAGAGUCAAAUUUGGAGAAUGUUUGCCAUGUGAUGUGUGUUGUUCACCAUUUUAGGUAGACGUCAAUUCUGCUAGUGGGCAUGUGGCAUGCCCCUGAUCUCUAGAGGAAUGUUCUGGUUUUAGGUCUCCGCGACGCCCAUUUGCUUUAAGUCAUGGUCACUUGCAGUUGUGCCUUGUGCUGACAUUGGGAAAACACUAUCUAAUGGCCAAGUCAACGGUUUGUCUUAUGCCUCAUGUCCCUUGGUAAUGGUGGCCAUCUUUUGCUGUUCCUAGGUGGUGGGUUAAUUAGAUAAGGUUGGGCCAAGUCAUUGUGUAGCAAUUCUACUAUAUUUGGUUUUGACCUUGGUUUGAGUGUGCAAGUACAUCUGUGGAUGCAUUGAGCUUGCUUCCAUAUGGUCGCUACCUGAUCAUUAAUUAGAAUGAGUUAGUUGUUGCGAAACCCAGUUUCUUGUGUCUGGGUGAAGCUAUAGACCAAACCAUCCUUCCCCUUUCUGGUUGGAUGGCUGCCCAGGAGUCCUAACUGCCAUCCGCCUUUUGUUCAGUGCGCCCAACGGUUUUCUUCAAUGCAUCAAGGAAGCGUUAUGAAGCAGUUUAGUUUUGUCGCUAUCUAGGUUUAGGCCAGUCCACCUAAGGAAAUUGGGGCUUUUUUUCAUCAUGCUUGCUGACUUUGCUUAAGAUAACCUGCUAGUCACUUCGAGCUUGUCUUGUGAUGGUUAUAUGCAAACUGAUUUUUUUCAGCUUGAUAUGUUCUUUUGAAACUGCAAAUAUACUCAUGGACGAGUCAUAGAUUUAAGUUGUUAAGUGGAUGAUGUUUGAAAUAGGGGUCAAGUCCAUCCAUCUGUGAAAUGUUUGUGGUGUGCUUCUCAAGUCACCAAUAGUAUUUGGUGUGUUCAGCUGGCUAGUUAUUUUCAGAGCUUGCAACGAAAUCGGAUUUACCCACUUGCCAGCAGUUCAUCUUUUCAUAUAAAAUAAGCCCAGGCCCUUUUUUUGGCUUGUUUUAUUGUUUCCAUGUUAACAUUAAAAGGGAUAUCGCGUUGAAGGUUUCGUCAAUAAAUCUUACUCAAUAUGACCUUGUAAUAAUCCUUUUCAGAAACAAAUAAAAUACCUACUUACAGACCAAUGAGUGUUUCAGUCAAGUCAGCGCAUAAUUUUUAAGAAAUGAAAUCACAAUCAGGGCAAUUGGACUUUCAUUUUCAGAGGGUCUCUUUACUACAGGUUGCUUCCUGUUGCUAUAUAAGACUGUAUCAUGAUUGGAUAGGUUGAAUUUGGAUUAGGUUUGUCACAGCCCCAUCUCUCAUUAAACCUAGUAAUGGUGCAUUGACACGGUAUUACUAACAUCAUUGUCAUUCCUGCUGGUGAUGGGAAUAUACAUUUGGAUAUAGUUGUGCGUCCUUGUGUUAAUUUCCAUCGUUUUCAGUUGCGUGUUCGUUUCAAGUUUUUCCACACUAGGGGCGGAGAAAAUCUAGGUUUUCAGUUGCGUGUUCGUUUCAAGUUUUUCCACACUAGGGGCGGAGGAAAUCUAGCUUCGAUGCUUACACAAUCCUUGACUGCUCAACAUCUUACUGUCAGAAUUAAAAGAUACGUACAUAUCCACCCUUGAUGCUUACAUGCUAUUUUCUUCCAUGCAGCGAAUCCGGAGACUCGGACGAUGAUGAAGACACCGGCGCCUGCACCUGUGUCAUCCAAUGAGGCCAGGGGUCUCCACUGUAAAUUCUGUGAAGAAAAAACAAAAAGCAAAAACAGAAGAGGAUUGUCUGAGUCAGCCAUUAGUCAUUGUCUGUAGAGGCUAGACCGCUAGAGAGCAGCAGGUCCAUCCAUUGUUGUGCGUGUGGAUAUUUGGAUGCCAUGGCUUGUGUUGUGUUUCAUCAGCAGCUUCAACUGUAAAAUGUUGUUACAGAUGCAUAGCUUUAGAAGAUUUCUGCCAAAUGUGCCAUAUUCUCCUGCCUGAAUUUUGCUCUGCUUGCUGUGGCUGAGACAUUCUGAUUGGCUGGUACAUCUGUCUGUCAAUGGGCCUGGCUGGACUUGACCUGAUCCAAUCUGAUGAUUCUAACCGGGCUGGACUGGGCUGUCCAUUUGGGGACAAUGUGUUUUUCUCUUCAUUUUUAUACACUUCUUCAUUUGACACUAUGGUCACUAGUGGGCCCGUCCGAGCACGGACACGCAGAGUGAAGAGGACUGUGAGCAAUGGGCCCAGUGAUCAGAGAGGAAAUACGGACAGGCCUAUGCUCAUUUCAGUUCCCAGGCCCAGCCCAACAAACCAAGCGACAGAGAGAGCGUGUGUGUGGGCCCAUUGUGUCAGAGAGAGAAAACACCGAGGCAGGUGUUGCCGCGUCGUUGCGCUGCGCCACCCAAAUCUCGCUUCCAACUUCUCCGGCACGGUGCUCCGCAGUCUCCGCCAGCCCGCUGCGACCUCCGCCCGCCUCCUCCCCACACCGGAGACCGCGCCGCGGCCAGCGGGCUAAGGUAGCGCGGGGAUGGCCUCCGGAGGCUCGGCCGGACGCGACCCGUACGACGAGGAGGCCGGCGGCCGCCGCCCCCUCGAGCUGGACGGCCGUGACGCCGCCGCCGCCUCGUCCUCCGACCACCGGCCUGGUGAGCUCGAGUUUGUCUCUUCUCCGGGGGCGUAGCCAUCUGGUGGCUGCGGGAUCUGGUGCGGGGUUGCGGUUUUGGGUUCCGGAAUCGGGAGAAUUUCAGCGUGUCGUCGGAUUUCGUGUGGUGGAACAGGAGAUCGAGUUGAAUUGUGGGGAGGAGAGCGUGCUCGGUUGAGGUAGCGUGUUCUGACUUCGAGCUGCUAGAGUUGUGCGUGUGUGAUCGUCGGUUGGCGCAAUGCAGCUGCCGUGGGCAGCUGCAAUUUGGUAAAUUAGAGCCGGGUCUGGGUGAGUGAUGCAUUACAUGGCGUAAUAAUGUGUAACUGUAACAAGGUGCAUAUUGAAGAUAUGCUGGGAGGUGAAGGCCAGGUCGCGGCUGAUAUGCUUGACCACAGAAUCUAGGCUUCUAAGCAAGCUUGUUGUAGGAUGUUUCUGUUAUGCCUUCAAAAUUCAGGCCAUGAUGCAUUGCUUAAAUGGUUGGCAGUAUGUGUUUUGUUUGCCUCUGCAUCACGAUCAUCUCAAAUGCUCAUUCCUGCCGUGUUAUCUAUUGUAGGGAAUGCCAUGCCUAGAUAUCAAGUGGGCUCCACGAAGGAUGAUACGAGUAGUAGAUAUGCUGAGGGGUCACAGCAACCCAGUACAGAUGAUGUGCGCAAGAGCAAGUCUGGGUCGAGAUACUAUACAGCAUUUGGGGUGGAUCUGUCCCCAGAUAAUAUGGCAGUUGCCAUUGUAUAUUUUGUGCAAGGGGUUUUAGGUCUUGCACGGCUUGCUGUGAGCUUUUAUUUGAAAGAUGAUCUUCAUCUCAAUCCAGCUGAGGCAUGUGUUGCUCAUUCCUUUUUCCAUCCUCCAUAUAGCAUCUUUAUGUUCUUCAUGGUAGAUUUAGAGUUCAUUCCUUUUCCAUGAUGUAAUAUUUUCUUUUUAAUUAAUAGAUAUUGCUAAGUACUAAAAUAGUUCGUUUAUAUAGACUGCAGUUGUAUCUGGUUUCUCAUCCUUGCCAUGGUUGAUCAAGCCCCUCUAUGGCUUUAUCAGGUUUCCCGAAACCUCCCACAUCCAUCUCUUUCUCAUUUAUGUGUACUAUUGAUUUUGAAUCCUCUGCUCUCGCCUUUCAGUGAUUCCAUUCCACUCUUUGGAUAUCGAAGAAGGUCAUACCUUUUUCUGUCAGGGUUACUUGGAGCACUUUCAUGGAGUUUGAUGGCCACAGUAGUGAGCAGUAAAUACAGUGCUGCAUCCUCUAUUCUUCUUGGGUCACUUUCUGUUGCCUUUUCGGAUGUUGUAAGUGCAAACUGAAUAUUCGACCCACAAGUUAUCUUGGCCUGCCCUAUAUAAUCGAUCAAUAAUAUUAAGUCCUGUGUAUUUCAUUGAUUCAGUUGUUUCUUGAUACUUUCAUUUUUUUUCCUUUUCAACAGUCAUAUUCCAUGCUAGUAAUUUCUUAUCUGAUAUGCCACUAAAUUUACUAUUUGAAUGAGAAAAAUUGGUUUCCUUCUAUAUUUGGCUCUGUACUCUGUUAUACAGUGGAACUGUGAUCAUUGUUGGGAGUUGGAACAAUUUUUAUCCCUUUGUUGGCAUACUUUACUUUCCAUAGAGAAAAGGGCUCAGUGAAAAUUUGCAUUGAGUUAUCUCAAUUUAACUUAACAGAUUAAUAAAGGCUUGAGAACAGCUUUAAGAAGUGGUCUAGCAUUAAAAAAGUUAUUGAGACAACCUACAAAGGAGCUAAUACCCCUCAAACAAGCUGAAGCACUUAUGUAAAGAAAAUUUUCAUUGAUUUGCUUUCUAGCAGGAUUCAUUUAAAUCCCUACUGAAUACACCAACUCGACCAAAUGUUUAGGAAUAGAUUCCUGCUGGUUGUUUCCUUCUCUUGAUUCCAAAAAUUUUUAUGCAGACCUUAUCUUCUUUCAUGAUGCAGCUUACAAUGCAUCCUUCUAGCUAUUGACACAAUCCAAUCAUAUAUUUUGUAAAGUUUAAGCAUAUCAAUGUACAGCGCAACCAAAGAAUAAAUGGUUACUAUCCUCAAAAGUCAAAACUAUAAAUAAGAUACAAGCUCUCAUUUAAUACUCAUUAGUAGAACAAUUUUCCUUGGAUCGUUAGAAGGUCGAAGCAUAUCGGCUAAUUUUGGAAUUAGCUUGGAUUGUUUUAUUUAAUUUUCUUCAAAAGUUACUGCAUACAAUUUCCAGUUCUAGGCUUUUGUUCUAGCUAGCUUUCUAAUUUGCAUGCUAAUGCACCAUUCUGGCAACCUAACAGGCUAACACUGCUCUUUCCCAUCAAGAAAAUGUUGGAUAAUCCCAACAUAAUCAUAUUUCAGUGGAAGUUUUACACUGUAAGGCUAACCAUUUAAACUUAUUUUACAAUGCCAUUGAAACUAAUCAAUUCAUUGCGGGUCUGUGUAGCCCUAAUAUUAAUGCUGUUCUUACCAAGUUUGCCAGUGUGAUUAUUAUUUUUAUCCAAAUGAAUCUUUUGUAUAAAAAAAGAUCAUAUCAUUUUCACUGCACGGUAGGACUGGGGAAUAAGAAAAUUGCAAGUAUUUUGCUUCAAGGUUUUGUUUCAUAACACGUCUGGGAACACUGUAGGUAGUGGACUCUAUGGUUGUUGAAAGAGCCCGUGGAGAAUCUCAAAGUACAUCUGGAUCUCUCCAGUCUCUCUGUUGGGGAUCUUCUGCCUUUGGAGGAAUUGUGAGUGCCUACUUCAGCGGUUCACUUGUGGAUACUUACGGAGUAAGGUUUGUCUGAUAGUACCACUUAAGCUGACUCACACCCUAUUAUUUUGUAGCUCAGUCUACUGAUGAAAAUAUUCCUCUAAACGCAGAUUUGUCUUUGGUGUUACAGCAUUUUUACCCCUGAUGACAUCUGCUGUUGCAGUUCUUGUAAAUGAACAUCGCAUGCCUUUCGGAGAACGUACUAUCUUACUCUCUGGUUCAGGAUUUGUUGAGAGCUCUAAGCAGCACGUCAGACAGCUUUGGACUUCAGUAAAGCAACCUAGCAUUUUCUUGCCAACCUUGUUUAUAUUCCUUUGGCAAGCAACACCGCAGUCAGAUUCUGCUAUGUUUUUCUUCAUGUAUGUAUGAGAAAGUCUUUACGGUAUUAAUAUGUGAUGGAUCUGUCCUGUACAUGCCUUAUUACUUUUUUACUGUUGCAUUGUGGUUAGUUGUAAUCCAACAACUAAAACUUUCAUGGAUUGGAAGAAAGGUCUUAAUUCAUGCAGAUUAUUGGACGCUUCCUCUAGGUCGUCUUUAUUUGGAGUGAUUUCGCUACCAUAGGCUGUAACGGCACACACACAAAAGCAAGAAAAUUACCUUGCUUCAUAAAAUACAAAGACAAAGUAUUGAUUUUGGUUAACUAAUUUGGAUCAUAAUUUAUACAUGCCAUUAAAGUGUUGCUUUUCAUUUUGUUUGGUCCCUUCUUCACUAGUUGUGUAUUAACAGUUUGAAGAUAUCUACUGAUAUGGUCUUUUUUUCCAACUUUUUUUUUACUGAAUAUGAUCUCAACUCUUUUAUGCUUAUUCGCAUAUUAAAUAAUUAAACAAGUAUGUCAGAUCUUUGAUGCUUUUGGUUUGCAUUUUAAUGACCUGAAACCUAUGCCACUUUUCAUUAUGAGCUACGCUGGCCUAAUGGGAGCAUGCAGGGCGCUUGUCUGAGUCAGAACUUUUUUUCAGAUUUGUCCCAUUUUCUGGUAUGGAGUCCUUUUGUACCCUUUAUAAACACUUUAGGCACAUAUUUAAGGAUGGACUGUUGUGACAUCCUUCUUUGGAUUCUCACUUCUGUGCACUGUGGUCUUCUAACUGUUUGGGUUUUCCAUGCUAAGUCUUUGUCUUGUUUGAUUGAUCAUGUUCUUUAUUUACAUGAAUAUAUACAUGAUUAAAUGGUUUUAUCUGUGUGGUUUUUGAAACGAUCAAUUUUUUAUGUCCUGUAAUUUAUUUCAGCACAAAUAAGCUUGGAUUCACUCCAGAGUUUCUAGGUCGUGUGAAGCUUGUUACCUCUAUUGCAUCCCUGCUUGGUGUUGGGAUAUACAACUAUUUUCUGAAGGAAAUUCCUCUAAGAAAAAUCUUUCUUGUGACAACCAUCAUAGGUUCAGCUCUUGGGAUGACACAGGUGCUCUUUGUGCUAUUUAUUUGAUUGGUGCUGCAAUUGGUUCUGUUCUUUAAACAUACUGCACUGUAUAUAUUUAGGUGCUUCUCGUAACUGGGCUUAAUCGGCAGUUUGGGAUCAGUGAUGAGUGGUUCUCUAUUGGUGAUUCAUUAAUCAUCACAGUCCUUAGUCAGGUAUGUAACAUUAAUGCAAUGCUUAAUAAUAGCAAAGGAUUUUACAUGAUUGGGGUGCAUUGGAAACAUAUGUUGAUCGCAUAAAAAUGCAUUCAGGUGAUCAUGUGCCUUCUUUCCUGACAUAAUGACACUGCAAACUAGUACUUUAAUAUACCCACAACUGAGUCUGACCACUGACAAGUCCAGGAUCAGCAGAUCUGGGUUGUGAACACCGGUACCUAUUCUUAGGAAAAGCAUUCUCAAAUCUCAAUAUCUCAUGUGUAAAAUCGGAGCAUCAUAUUUAUAUUGACCAUAUCUAGCUUAGAAUUGUGCUUUGAGGCCUCCUGCCUUCAGUUACUUCCUCGAAUGCAAGUUUAUGUUGCCUCAUUUUUUUGUAGGCUUCAUUUAUGCCGGUCUUGGUGUUAGCUGCAAAAUUGUGCCCUCCAGGGAUGGAAGCCACUUUAUUUGCAACUUUGAUGUCCAUUUCCAAUGCUGGAAGUGUUACUGGUGGUCUGGUUGGUGCUGGUCUAACAAAGGUUUUUGGGGUCACCAGGGACACCUUUGGGAAUUUACCUCUCUUGAUUGUGGUCUGCAAUCUUAGUUCGCUGUUGCCCUUACCUCUUUUAGGCCUCCUGCCAGAGGAAUCAGGUGACACAAAUAAUGGAGAAACAAAACAUAACUGACUUGCUAAGGGUUUUAUCUCCAUGUGUUCUGGAUCUCAAGUAUGACAUGCCACCGUGCCCAGCACCGAGUGAGAUCCAUCCCAUCCACUUGGAGUUCAGAAAACCAGUAGGGAAAUAUGAAAGUCAAACUGGAUAUAAUUUCGUCUGUCACCGCUUUCAUCAGUCAGAUUAAUCUACUGUGACUAUUUACCUAUGUGAUUGAAGUGAUUCAUGAUCGUCUGAAAAUGGUCUCUGAUGCAACGGCACACAGGUAUUCGCCCCUUUUUAUAUUUUCUAGUUACCUUGUAUGCUAAGACAAGGUAGGUUUCGGUUUUCUCUACAAUCUUUGUUACUUAAUGCACCCCCAUGAAAAUUAUACCGGGGGUUGAACAUUAGUAGUUGGAUUUCCUUACAAAGUUGAAUGUAUUGUGCCGAAAAGGGGGGAAUAUUUAUACUUUAUGGAAACCUGAAGUAUGGGCAUGUAAAGAAUAAAUACUUGCACACAGUUCAACUUAUAUCAGGUUCUGCUUACAUCACUAGGCCAAACAAAGUGGAAUCACAGACAGAAGCACAUACUGAAAACUACAGGCACAACAGAUAUGCAACAUCUGUCAUCUUUAACAACUCACUGAACUUUUCAGUGCCAAUAGUACGUGUAUCGAUGACAAUAGACGGUACGUGUAGACCUUUGAUGUUUGUAUUGAGGUUAACUUGAAAUAUGAUUUCCUUAUAAAAAAAGUUGAAAUAUGAUUUCAAAUUAUUGGUGAAUUGAAUCAGAGUUCAGUAACAAGGUAUUGUUGUAAUCAAUGUAAUGCAAAAGACGACCUGGAAAAAAAAAAGGGAUCCAGGAACCUGUGUACUUGUACCUUUUUUUCCUUCCUUUUGACUUGAGAGGGUGUGCUCCUACUCCUACAGUUGAUUUGUAUAUCCAGUAAGCUUGGAUCAGUUAAGUUAUCAUGAGUACACAUCAUUGUUGUUAUUCUCUUUAAAAAAUGCGACCAUUGUUGUCUAGUCCAUUGUUGAAUUUUGCUAUGAAUCAUUUAAAUUCAAAAUCUGUAGAAAUACAAGGUCUAUUCUGUACCAUUUUAAUACAUGAUAAUGGAGAGCAGCAUAAAUAACCAAUAUACUCUGAAUAUUCUGCCUCAUUUGCUCUUGGAGUCUCUUGAGACGUCAGAAUGUAAACAAUGCCACUUGGUUGCAGUAGACAUCAUCUCCAAGACUCCAAGAGCAAUGCAUUCAGGUUUCAGUCAACAUCAUCUCCACAUCAUGUUCUUGCAUCAGUGCAUCACAUCAGUUUAUCACGUGGAUUUUAUAUUCACAAUGGGGUCCAUGUAGGCUUAUGCUUCGUGUCAGCAUUACAGCCUAUGUUUCCAUAGUUUAAGUGCUCGUCUAAUCAGCAUGGUUGGAUUAUUCUGCCACAUGAAGUAUCCUGACUGACCUCUACUUCCAUUGCAAUUGUGGGGUCAACUCUGAACUGCAUCGUUGUUUUUUUUUCCUUCACCUGACAAAAAUGGCUGGAGAUUGUGUUCCGAUCCGAUUCCUGGCAUCAGAUCCAGCCUUUCUGGCCAUCACCUGUUUUUCUUUUUUAUAUAUUAUGUUUCUUUUUCUUUUUCUUUCAAACCAUUUUUUCUAAGCAUGUGCAUCUUGAGACGCUUCAUAUGAUUGUUGAAGCUAAACUCACAUCAUGAACAAAACUAUGAACCUGAGUACAAAUGGUAGUGCUACAGGUGGUACUUGUUUGUAUGGAUGUCGCCAUGCAAGUCCUGACGGCGACAAGUGGCGAGUCAAGCUGUUCCCUUUAGUUGUUAUGCAUUUUUUUUAAAAAAUUAUGAAUAUGAUUGUUAUUACCUUGUUUCGUACGAAAGUAUUUUAAGCCAUGUGUUCACAAGUUUUGGUAUAAGUAGUUAUUCACUUACAGCCACAAGUAGCUAGUAAUAACUUGCAAGAAACUGUGAUUUUGGUUACUUUCCUUUGAUCUGGCCUGAGUUUGACACAUGGAUUCAUGACUUUGGCAAGAUUUUACUUGCUACACUAGCCCAGAUGUAUUUAAAACACUAAGAUUUUUCGCAAGAAAUAAGUUGAGUCCUAUAGAGUUUAAGACAAGUCACCUAUUUGCUGAAUGAGUACCUGCAAUGUACUCCCAUUGUCCCACAAAGAUUGCAAUUAUAGUUCAAAAUUCGUUCUUGUGUUCAGACCAUGGUUGUGAUUUGUGCCCAGUAGUCGGUUUGGGACAAUGGCAUUCCGACGAUACGUUUUCCCCUCUCUAUUGGAGUGAUUGGUAGUCCUAGCUCGUGAAAAGUGUAAAAAGGAAAAGAAAAAGAAAAUAAAAACAUGGUAACUAACAUGGGUGGGCCGGUCUCUAGCAUGCGGGGUCCACGUUGUGGUGGCCCCCGCCACAUGUGGAAUGUGACGUGUACGGCCCUGCGUGGACGAUGGCUGUGCGAAUGGAGCACACGUCACGUCGUAACGUGUGCGCUUUCUUUCUUAUCCUACGAUCCUAUCCCCUCUAGGCACCACCACCCUUUGUUUGUUCUACGAUUUUUUCCUCCCAUCUUUCCUUUUUUUUUUCUUCAUCUUGCGCGAUAUUUUUCACGUUUCCAACUCGACGAGAUUUGAGGCCAGGCUUGUUAGGAUCUCUUGGUUGGAAAUAAAUGUAAUGCUCAUAUGAAGAAAAUAUUUUUCCAACUUCAAUGAUUUUCUAUGAUGAUGAUGUUUUAUUAUUAGCAAAACUUAUACAGGUGACUUCAAUCAUUGUUUGUCUAAAUGGUAGUUUGCAUGUUUAAACUCUUAAACUUUUCAAAAAAAAUAAACUCUUCUUGUUCGCCAUACUAUCAUUCUAAUUUUUUUUUUGAGAGGUACUAUCAUUCUAAAUAGGCGCAGCCAUUUAAUCCGAACAAUGUUUGAUCUGAUACUCAGCUUAAUAAUAGUCCAAACAAGCAAUACACUUUAUAUGAUCGAUCCAAGUAGUGUGGAUGAAUCCUAUCACCCUAAUUCUCUAGAGUUUGUAGUAGAAGUUAUAAUUGCGACCUGUAGUGAUGUGUAUUUUGCGACGGCAAUAAUUCAGUUACGAGGUAUUUCAAUUUCCCUAGCGGUAAUCUCACAUAUCACAUCCGGUUUUAUUUAUCCACAACCUAAAAUUUAAAAGAAAAUUGAGAUGUGGCAUGUAAGGAUAACGAGAUAAGUCUAAUCCUUACCCUAAUCCAAAUCUUGUUUCAUCAAGUCUCUAAAUCCUUUAAUCCUCUUAUCACGGAUUCCACUCCUAUUUUUACGAAGAGAGCCCAAGCCAAAAUCAACGGUCACCACCUCCUAUUUCUCCUUCCCCUCCCUCCCCUCCCCCCUCCUACGAUUCCCCAACGCUGAAGCGCGGAGGCUGCUCCACACCCUCACCGCUCGCGCGAAUUCCGAGGCGCCGCUCCGAUCCGCCCUCCCCACCGCGACCGCGCGUCUCCCUAGGGUUAGGGCUCCGCUCCCUCGCCCUCGCACUCGCCCUCGCCCUCGUACUCUCCUCCUCCCGACGCGGCCCCCCGCGCGCGCCCGCCACGCCAUGAGGGUCCACCCGGCCCCGCGGAAGCGGACCAUCGCCGUGCAGCGCUGCGGGGCCGCGGCCGCGGCCGCGGCGGCGGGGGCCGCGCUGGGAGGCAAGAAGCUGCGCCGCCUGCCGCACAUCUUCGCCAAGGUGCUGGAGCUCCCGUUCGCGGCCGACGCGGACGUAUCCGUCGAGGAGGACGCGGCGGCGCUGCGGUUCGUCGCCGCGGCGGUCGACGGGUUCUCCCCCGCGGGCGCCCGCGCGCACGCCGUCGAGAUCCACCCGGGGGUCACCAAGGUCGUCGUCCGGGACCUCUCCUCCGGCGGCGCCCACGGCGACGACGACGGGGCCGCGGCGUUCGAGCUCGACCGGUGGCGAUUCCGCCUCCCGCCCUGCACGCUCCCCGCCAUGGCCACCGCCACCUACGCCGAGGGCGAGCUCGUCGUCACCGUCCCCAAGGGCGCCGGACCCGAUGACGGCGACGGCGACGGCGCCACUGUCCUUGGAGGCACGGAGAGCGUCCUUGUGCUUGUAUAGUAUAUUUAUGCCAUGACCCGACUGUUUUGCUGAUUCGCCUGUUUCUACUUUCUACUACUAAUAUCAAUAUUUAUAUCAUGCGAGAUGAUGGUGAUAAUAUGCUAAUAACAGAGUCAUAAGAGUAUGAACGAUGGAUGCAAAUCGCCGUUUUCUGUGAAUUCUCUGAUCUGCUCGUUCAACUGUUGGUGAUCUUGUGUCAGUUCUUGCAAACCAUUUGUGAUGUAUAUAACUAUACCUUUUUAGUUGUUUAGUUGAGUAAAGGUUCAGCAUGAAUUAGCAUCCAGGCAUUUGUUGCAGUUUGAUUAGCUUAGCAAAACUGAAGGAUCAAAUGAUUCGGGUUAGAAAUUGGGAAGUCUGUUAAUCAGGUUGGUCAGGAAUUGGGAAAUUGCUUGAAGAGUUGCUCUGUAUCUAGUGAUGUUUUGUAGUAGGUUAGCAGUUCUGAAGACUGCAAGACUAAGAGUUGACUCUAUAUUCACUUGAUGCUGGAGUGUUUUGAGCAAAAUUUCCAAUCUCAUGGCAUCUGAGACGUAUAGAUGAUUUUAAUGUGUCCAGUCUACAGUCGUAGUUGUCUGGCUACUUGGCUAGCCUCGUUGCGUGUGUGCAUUUCCUGUGCUGAACUGAUGGAAAUGAUUGUGUCGUGAUUUGGAGGUUAAGAUGUCAUGGUUUGGUUCAAUCAACUAUUCAUUUUCUUAUCAGUUUGUCUAUAAGUAAUCCAGGCGCAUGGGUCAUAAUCUUCUGGUGUAUUUUUAAACCCCUAGAGGUUUCGGAUUGGUGAUGCCUGUCGAUCAAUCACCAAUCCAUUUUAAGGAGAUAUCUAUUUUGUUCUACAUGCAGUCAUGCAUCAUAACAGAAAUUCAUCAUGUGUCCUCAAAAACUUGUAAUAAUUGCAUCUUAAAGCAAUAGAGCGUAUCCAAUAGACUAUUGAGCAUAUAUUGGCCUAGAUUUCAUUGUCUACUUUAUCCUAGUUUUGUUCUGAUGUAUUCGCUCCCUUUUAUCGCAUCUUUUGCUUUCAGAAGAUGCUCGGCUUGCUUGUCAAACUAGCUUACUUCUAACUGGGUCUUAACCCCACCUGAAUUCCUUUAAUUUUUAUUGAUCGGGUGAUUCGCUUUAAUCAAUCCUCUUGUAAAAUUGCUGGACUUUCUGGUGCUCCAAAUAUAUCUAACCACUUAGAGAAACACCUUUCUUGAGUUUCUUUUUGUGGUCUUUUUCUCUGGUGGGGUGUGUUUGUUCGAGGAUGACUGUGAUCUUCGUCUGUUACGUGUUGCCAAUUUUGUUCUCUGAACCAGUUGACGCUGUUUUUCCCCUGUUUCUUUCGCACAAUUGUUCAUCAUGCUUCUGUACCAUUUUGCCAUGCUCUUACCUUGUUGACCCAGUGCAGCAUCCAAGCAUUUGCAAAGAUGUUAAAUGUUUGGCUCUCUCUCUGUUUCCGUAGACACUUGGAAAUUUCACUCUAUUUUCUGUAACUUUUGGAGUGAAGUGGAAGCAACGAAAAUUUCAGAGAAACACCCUGCAACUUUACGCCGUCUGUUCGAGCAACUUUGCCGCGGAACGAGGAGAUAUUUUCCAGUGGCGUUGCGAGACUGCAAGGCAAAGAGUAAACCAUGUCAUUUCCUG